GAGUUUGAUCAUGGCUCAGAUUGAACGCUGGCGGCAGGCUUAACACAUGCAAUUCGAGCGGAAACGAUGGGAGCUUGCUCCCAGGCGUCGAGCGGCGGACGGGUGAGUAACGCGUAGGAAUCUACCCAGUAGUGGGGGAUAGCCCGGGGAAACUCGGAUUAAUACCGCAUACGCCCUACGGGGGAAAGGCCGGGAUCUUCGGACCGGUCGCUAUUGGAUGAGCCUGCGUUGGAUUAGCUAGUUGGUAGGGUAAAGGCCUACCAAGGCGACGAUCCAUAGCUGGUCUGAGAGGAUGAUCAGCCACACUGGAACUGAGACACGGUCCAGACUCCUACGGGAGGCAGCAGUGGGGAAUAUUGGACAAUGGGCGCAAGCCUGAUCCAGCCAUGCCGCGUGUGUGAAGAAGGCUCUAGGGUUGUAAAGCACUUUCAGUAGGGAGGAAGGCCAGGGAGUUAAUAGCUUCUUGGAUUGACGUUACCUACAGAAGCAGCACCG
This 495-nucleotide ribosomal RNA is filed under the name gamma proteobacterium SKA56. RNAcentral's name for it is "bacterial SSU rRNA". It matches the Rfam family "Bacterial small subunit ribosomal RNA", at positions 9 to 495 of the family's 1533-position model. The record is from RNAcentral. Lineage: Bacteria; Pseudomonadati; Pseudomonadota; Gammaproteobacteria.